This 93-nucleotide transfer RNA is filed under the name Rhodospirillaceae bacterium. RNAcentral's name for it is "tRNA-Sec". It matches the Rfam family "Selenocysteine transfer RNA". The record is from RNAcentral. Lineage: Bacteria; Pseudomonadati; Pseudomonadota; Alphaproteobacteria; Rhodospirillales; Rhodospirillaceae.
GGAAGAGAAACGUUCCCGGUGGGGCGGCCGGACUUCAAAUCCGGUAAGGGUCGCCAGACGGCUCUUCGUGGGUUCGACUCCCACUCUCUUCCG